RNAcentral lists this long non-coding RNA (649 nucleotides) under Mytilus galloprovincialis (Mediterranean mussel). The record is from RNAcentral. Lineage: Eukaryota; Metazoa; Mollusca; Bivalvia; Mytilida; Mytilidae.
UCAGUUUAUAGUUGUUUAAAAUCAUUUAUUAAAUUUUGAUAAUAUUAUUUUUUGGUCUUUGAUAAUGUUUAUACAAAAUUACAAUUAUUCAGUUAAAUUUUAUUAACACAGAAACUGGAAUAAAUGUCCAUUUCCUAGUCUCAUGGUUUCUUGGGAGUAUGUCACAGCAGUUUUCUAUGGCCCAAUAAACAUGAUAAAUGUUAUGACUUAAGCACCCUUUUUUGAUAUUUCAUUAGAUUGAGAUUACCCGUUUAAUCUUUAGACACUUUAAAUAACAAUAUUAGCAGAAAACAUGGAAAAGAAAAAAGUAAUUGAUGUGAUACAUACAACGUUUUGAAUAAUUAUUUUCAAUAAGAUUUGGAUGGCACCAACUUCUCCUGAGUUCUGACUAUUGAUGAUAAUGGUUCUUUUCACAUUUUUUCCCUCGUUUGUUGGAAAGAUAAUUGACUAUCACCUUGUGAAUAGGACACAUCUUUAUUAUAAUCACCAUAUCCAAUGAAAACUUCAACUCUCACUACCUCAGUCACAAUUUGUUCAUUCUUUUUUUUUUACCCCAAAAUUCUAAUGAAAAUUUAUUAUAAAAGUAAUCAUAUUGUACCUAAUAAACAUUUCCAAAUAUUUCAAUACAAAUACCUCCUGUAAACUACAA